Long non-coding RNA from Pipistrellus kuhlii (Kuhl's pipistrelle), 95 nucleotides. RefSeq lists it as uncharacterized. The transcript has 3 exons. Lineage: Eukaryota; Metazoa; Chordata; Mammalia; Chiroptera; Vespertilionidae. The record is from RefSeq and is a predicted model, not a curated record.
GGUAGUAAGAGAGAGAGAGAGCUCUCUAGGGUCUCUUUUUUAAGGGCACUAAUCCCAUUCAUGAAGGCUUCAUCCACAUGACCUAAUGACCUCUU